GUGCUCGCUUCAGCAGCACAUAUACUAAAAUUGGAAUGAUACAGUGAAGAUUAGCAUGGCCCCUGCGCAAGGAUGACACGCAAUUUGUGAAGUGUUCCAUAUUUCA
This is a small nuclear RNA of Notechis scutatus (mainland tiger snake), 106 nucleotides long. NCBI's taxonomy places the organism in Eukaryota, Metazoa, Chordata, Lepidosauria, Squamata, Elapidae. The record is from Ensembl.